This 2464-nucleotide ribosomal RNA is filed under the name Oscheius sp. FVV-2. RNAcentral describes it as "SSU rRNA". The stretch from base 1 to 1631 matches the Rfam family "Eukaryotic small subunit ribosomal RNA". The record is from RNAcentral. Lineage: Eukaryota; Metazoa; Nematoda; Chromadorea; Rhabditida; Rhabditidae.
CUUUAAUGGAUAACUGCGGUAAAUCUGGAGCUAAUACAUGUCACAAAAGCUAGGCUCGCCUAGCUGCAGGUAUUAGUGCAAACCAUUCGUUUUCGGACGUAGUUUGUUGACUCUGAAUACCCAGUAUAUCGACGGUUUAUCCGUCGAAAGCUCGGAAUAGUGUCUGCCCUAUCAACUAGAUGGUAGUCUAUUAGACUACCAUGGUGAUAACGGGUAACGGAGAAUAAGGGUUCGGCUCCGGAGAGGGAGCCUUAGAAACGGCUACCACAUCCAAGGAAGGCAGCAGGCGCGUAACUUAUCCACUACCACAGUGAGAUAGUGACUAAAAAUAAAAAGUCCAAUCCUAACGGAUCGGAUAUUUCAAUGAAUUGAGCUCAAAUAGCUCUAUGAGGACCUAAUGGAGGGCAAGUCUGGUGCCAGCAGCCGCGGUAAUUCCAGCUCCAUUAGUGUACAUCGAUAUUGCUGCGGUUAAAAAGCUCGUAGUUUGAUCUGGGUUGCAUGCGUUGAUACUCCUUUGGAGCUUAUCUUCGCUGCAGCUAAACUGCUGGUUAACUGCAGGUGUUUUCGGACCCUGUAGCGGCUAGCGAGAUUACUAACACAAAAUCAAAUAGCUUAGAUAAGGCGUCUGCCUGAAUGUUCUAUGCUGGAAUAAUGGAAAAGGACUUCGGUCUUAUUUAUUGGUUCUAAGUUCGAAGUAAUGAUUAAUAGAGACGAUUCGGGGCUGUUCGUAUCAUUACGCGAGGGGUGAAAUCCGUUGACCGUAGUGAGACGUCCAAAAGCGAAAGCAUUCAGCAAGAACGUCUUCAUUAAUCAAGAACGAAAGUCAGAGGUUCGAAGGCGAUUAGAUACCGCCCUAGUUCUGACCGUAAACUAUGCCAUCUAGCGAUCCGAUGGGGUAAUUUGCCUUGUCGGGGAGCUUACCGGAAACGAAAGUCUUUCGGUUCCGGGGGUAGUAUGGUUGCAAAGCUGAAACUUAAAGAAAUUGACGGAAGGGCACCACCAGGAGUGGAGCCUGCGGCUUAAUUUGACUCAACACGGGAAAACUCACCCGGCCCGGACACCGUUAGGAUUGACAGAUUGAAAGCUCUUUCUCGAUUUGGUGGUUGGUGGUGCAUGGCCGUUCUUAGUUGGUGGAUUGAUUUGUCUGGUUUAUUCCGAUAACGAACGAGACUCUAUCCUACUAAAUAGUUUCACGAUUUUCAAGUCAUGUAGACUUCUUAGAGGGAUAAGCGGUGUUUAACCGCACGAGAUUGAGCGAUAACAGGUCUGUGAUGCCCUUAGAUGUCCGGGGCUGCACGCGCGCUACACUGGAGGAUUCAGCUGGUCUUCCAUUGCCGAAAGGUAUUGGUAAACCGUUGAAACUCCUCCGUGACCGGGAUAGGGAAUUGUAAUUAUUUCCCUUGAACGAGGAAUUCCUAGUAAGUGUGAGUCAUCAGCUCACGCUGAUUACGUCCCUGCCCUUUGUACACACCGCCCGUCGCUGUCCGGAACUGAGCUGUUUCGAGAAGACUGAGGACUGCUGUUUUGAGGCUUCGGCUUCUUUACGAUGGAAAUCAGUUUAAUCGCAAUGGCUUGAACCGGGCAAAAGUCGUAACAAGGUACCUGUAGGUGAACCUGCAGGUGGAUCAUCGCUGAUUCCUAAUGGAUUCUAGCUUUGGCCUUGAUCAGUCGUUGCCGCAAUAGAAGUAGAGCUCUUGAUCUUUACUUCUGCGACUUUGAUCAACCUCAGCAUGUACAACCACGAGGUUUCCCAAAGGUUUUGCUAGCGGCACUGGUUGGACCGUCGCUAUUAUUUUUAAUAGCGUAAUAGCAAAAGAACUUACGACCUUUAGUCGUGAACGUAGGGAAAUAACGAAACUGCAUACCGUUUCACCUCGAAUCAUAUAGAUUUAGCUGGCUAUUUCAACUUUUGAAAUAAAAAGUGAGUCUUAAUGACUGGUCAUUUUUUGACUGGCGGCUAUAUUCUAUAUAACUAUCUAAAGUUUAAUUUUUGCGUUGACCGUUUAUAUUCUCUUUUUGAAUGUAACGAUCCUUGACUACCUUUAGGGAUUGAUCGGUUGCUUCCUUAAUCGAUGAAAAGCGGAGCUAGCUCCGUUAUUUACCACGAAUUGCGAACGCUUUGAGUGGCAAAAUCUUGAAUGCACAGCACCGCUGGCUUCGGCUAACGGUACGUCUGCAUCAGGGAAGUAUUAAAUACUACCAGUAGCUGGAUGCUGGUCUGUCGGACGGCUAUGGCAGGGCCUAUUUGUGCCAUACCCGUCUUAGCUCAGAAUAAUAAUUGCAACAUCGUACGAGUCUACAAACUCAUACGAACUGUAGGUCUGGCGAGAGCUUAACUGCACUGCCAAAUAACUGCCAUGAAAGCUUGACAAUGGUAUCUGUUAUUUGGUUGCCCUUGUGGUGUAGUUUCAAUCUUGUUAUUGGAUCUUAAGAAUUGCUUCCUGAUGUCAGUCGUGAUUACCCG